GAUGAACGCUGGCGGCGUGCCUAAUACAUGCAAGUCGAGCGAAUGGAUUGAGAGCUUGCUCUUAUGAAGUUAGCGGCGGACGGGUGAGUAACACGUGGGUAACCUGCCCAUAAGACUGGGAUAACUCCGGGAAACCGGGGCUAAUACCGGAUAACAUUUUGGACCGCAUGGUUCGAAAUUGAAAGGCGGCUUCGGCUGUCACUUAUGGAUGGACCCGCGUCGCAUUAGCUAGUUGGUGAGGUAACGGCUCACCAAGGCAACGAUGCGUAGCCGACCGGAGAGGGUGAUCGGCCACACUGGGACUGAGACACGGCCCAGACUCCUACGGGAGGCAGCAGUAGGGAAUCUUCCGCAAUGGACGAAAGUCUGACGGAGCAACGCCGCGUGAGUGAUGAAGGCUUUCGGGUCGUAAAACUCUGUUGUUAGGGAAGAACAAGUGCUAGUUGAAUAAGCUGGCACCUUGACGGUACCUAACCAGAAAGCCACGGCUAACUACGUGCCAGCCGCCGCCGUAA
This 515-nucleotide ribosomal RNA is filed under the name uncultured bacterium. RNAcentral describes it as "partial 16S ribosomal RNA". It matches the Rfam family "Bacterial small subunit ribosomal RNA", at positions 28 to 523 of the family's 1533-position model. The record is from RNAcentral.